AACGCACAUUGCGCCCCUUGGUAUUCCGGGGGGCAUGCCUGUUCGAGCGUCAUUACAACCCUCAAGCUCUGCUUGGUAUUGGGCUCCGUCCGCGCAAGCGGACGCGCCUCAAAGACCUCGGCGGUGGCUCUGGCCCUCAAGCGUAGUAGAAUACACCUCGCUUUGGAGCGGUUUGGAGUCGCCCGCCGGACGAACCUUCUGAACUUUUCUCAAGGUUGACCUCGGAUCAGGUAGGGAUACCCGCUGAACUUAA
RNAcentral lists this unclassified non-coding RNA (253 nucleotides) under uncultured fungus. Its description in RNAcentral is "partial contains 5.8S ribosomal RNA, internal transcribed spacer 2, and large subunit ribosomal RNA". The record is from RNAcentral. Lineage: Eukaryota; Fungi.